This 468-nucleotide ribosomal RNA is filed under the name uncultured bacterium. Its description in RNAcentral is "partial 16S ribosomal RNA". It matches the Rfam family "Bacterial small subunit ribosomal RNA", at positions 28 to 507 of the family's 1533-position model. The record is from RNAcentral.
GACGAACGCUGGCGGCGUGCUUAACACAUGCAAGUCGAACGGAAAGGCCCUGCUUUUGUGGGUUGCUCGAGUGGCGAACGGGUGAGUAACACGUGAGUAACCUGCCCUUGACUUUGGGAUAACUUCAGGAAACUGGGGCUAAUACCGGAUAGGAUCUCCUGCUGCAUGGUGGUGGUUGGAAAGUUUCGGCGGUUGGGGAUGGACUCGCGGCUUAUCAGCUUGUUGGGGGGGUAGUGGCUUACCAAGGCUUUGACGGGUAGCCGGCCUGAGAGGGUGACCGGCCACAUUGGGACUGAGAUACGGCCCAGACUCCUACGGGAGGCAGCAGUGGGGAAUAUUGCACAAUGGGCGGACGCCUGAUGCAGCAACGCCGCGUGCGGGAUGACGGCCUUCGGGGUGUAAACCGCUUUCGCAUGUGACGAAGCGUGAGUGACGGUAAUGGGUAAAGAAGCACCGGCUAACUACGUG